This is a long non-coding RNA of Apis laboriosa (Himalayan honeybee), 1642 nucleotides long. RefSeq lists it as uncharacterized. The record is from RefSeq and is a predicted model, not a curated record. NCBI's taxonomy places the organism in Eukaryota, Metazoa, Arthropoda, Insecta, Hymenoptera, Apidae. The transcript has 3 exons.
AUUAAACGAAGAACACGCAGACUAGCAAAAACUUUGCCUGGCAGACUAGGUAGAUUAUUGUUCUCCAAGAUCAACUCGUCAACUGGUCGAUCUAAAUAAUGACUCACUGCCUUUAGGCCCUCGAGAACUUUUGUGUGACACUUGCCAUAUUUGAAUCUCCAUGUCACGAGUAGAACAUCUACAAGGUAGAAUCCUCUCUUGAGUAGGACACCCGUACUCCGAAUUUAACUGAGCAUCGACACUGAUAAAGGAUAACAGUGUCAGAAAGCAGCCAGUUAUAAAGACGCCUCUAUCCCACGGUAAUUUAAUCAUAGCGCAUUUGGAUCUUGGUCUACGACCUCAAACACCAGUCCCACAUUUUCUAAAUUUGGAUAUUGUAACUAAAUGUUAACUGUCUUUGUACAUAAACCGAAGAACAUGCUGUAUAUAUACAUGGUGUCGACACGUCACGGUCGUAGACGACAAAAUUAAUGUUUCAUACCGUAAGCUUAAAGUUAAAGACCGCUAGGAAAAUCUUUCCCCGCGAUAAUUACUGUCACCCGAAAUUGCACGACACGGGUAUGUCUUGAUUAAAUUGAUAAAGCAUUUGUAUUAAUCGCAACAACGUAUUAAAACGUUUAUUUAUUUCACGAACAAUAGUCAAAUGCUCUUAUCUAACAUCUAAUCAUCAAAAGAACAAGAUAUUUGAGUAAGUAAUUUAAGAGAAUCGAUACGGAAGACGAAAGUCUUUUUACUCUAUCUGAUAGAACGAAAACAAAGGUUUUCUUCGAGGAUAGUGUUCACGGGUGACUACGUGUGUUUCAUAAUGCGCCUUCCGUAAGUAGAAACAAUCGAACGACCUAAAAAUGCAUUCGGACGUAAGGAAUGUUGAUAUGAAGCAAUUGUUAAUUAAAAUAUUUAAUCAAAAAAACUGUAUACGUGUAUACAGCCCGUAACCAUAUGUUUUGUUGAAAAUUUAAGGGAGCGCGUCAGAAUCCAGAUAUACAGGUCGUUACACUCACGUGAUUACAUUUGCAUUCCUCUAAACUAGAUUAACCUGAUUGUUACCUGAUAAUACCUGAACCUAUUACCUGAUUGUUAGGAAAUCGGUUUUCAUCGUUCAGUGAGCUUUAAAAUUAAACUAUUCAAUUUGAUCUUUUCUAUGAACAUUCCUCGUUAAAUGAGUCUUCGCGUGACGCAAAUUGCAAACGGUUGACAUAAUCCUUUGUUGUAUAUCCUAUUAGUUACGACUUACAAUUGCGUAUAAUUGAUACAGGUGCAGCAUCUUUUUUAUUAGUUUUUUAUUAGUUAUAAACUUAUAAUGCGUAUAAUUGAUACAGGUGCAGCACCUUUUUUUUUUUUACUGUUAAUGUCCUGUAACUAUGAUUGAACUAUAGUAUACGAUCGUAUAUGAUACCAGUGAAAGUGAUAUAUGUUUCCUCUGUCUCCUUAGUUCUUAUUCUUUCUUAAAUUAUAGCAAGUAAUUUUAUGCAACUUUGAAAUAGAUAGUGUACAUACAUUCUAAGCAAAUAAAAAUAAGAUUGAACGAUGAGAAUCGCAUUAUUUUCGUUAUUUUUAUUAUUUAAUCAAUUGCAAUUUAAAAUAUCAAAAUUACUCAAUUCUUCGUAUCGAUCAUUCCUACCUUUAGAGUUCUCCUAACUGA